AGUGUUACCCGUGUUGGCCUGUGUACAAGUCUCCUGGAAUGGAGCGUCAUAGAGGGUGAGAAUCCCGUCUUUGACACAGAUCCCAAUGCAUUGUGGUGCGCUCUCAAAGAGUCGAGUUGUUUGGGAAUGCAGCUCUAAAUGGGUGGUAAAUUCCAUCUAAAGCUAAAUAUUGGGGAGAGACCGAUAGCGAACAAGUACCGUGAGGGAAAGAUGAAAAGAACUUUGGAAAGAGAGUUAAACAGUACGUGAAAUUGCUGAAAGGGAAACGCUUGAAGUCAGUCGCGUUUGUCAGGGAUCAGCCUUCCUCUUGGUUGGUGUACUUCCUGAUGAAUGGGUCAACAUCAGUUUUGAUCAGUGGAUAAGAGCUUGAGGAAUGUGGCAUCUCCGGGUGUGUUAUAGCCUCUUGUUGUAUACAUUGAUUGGGACUGAGGAACUCAGCACGCCGCAAGGCCGGGUUUUUAACCACGUUCGUGCUUAGGAUGUUGGCAUAAUGGCUUUAAUCGACCCGUCUUGAAACACGGACCAAGGAGUCUAACAUGCCUGCGAGUGUUUGGGUGGUAAACCCGAGCGCGUAAUGAAAGUGAAAGUUAGGAUCUCUGUCAUGGAGAGCACUGACGCCCGGCCCAGACCUUCUGUGACGGUGCCGCGGUUGAGCAUGUAUGUUGGGACCCGAAAGAUGGUGAACUAUGCCUGAAUAGGGUGA
This 703-nucleotide ribosomal RNA is filed under the name Lentinula raphanica. RNAcentral describes it as "LSU rRNA". It matches the Rfam family "Eukaryotic large subunit ribosomal RNA", at positions 157 to 849 of the family's 3401-position model. The record is from RNAcentral. Lineage: Eukaryota; Fungi; Basidiomycota; Agaricomycetes; Agaricales; Omphalotaceae.